Small nuclear RNA from Zalophus californianus (California sea lion), 107 nucleotides. NCBI's taxonomy places the organism in Eukaryota, Metazoa, Chordata, Mammalia, Carnivora, Otariidae. The record is from Ensembl.
GUGCUCACUUCAGCAGCACAAAGACUACAAUUGGAAUGAUACAGAUUAGAUUAGCAUGGUCCCCGCAUAAGGAUGACACGCAAAUCUGUGAAGCCUUCCAUAUUUAA